This is a long non-coding RNA of Hyla sarda, 504 nucleotides long. RefSeq lists it as uncharacterized. The record is from RefSeq and is a predicted model, not a curated record. NCBI's taxonomy places the organism in Eukaryota, Metazoa, Chordata, Amphibia, Anura, Hylidae. The transcript has 4 exons.
CCAGCCCCGCCAGCAGAUGAAGAUAGAGCAGGGGAUCGUUCACAACCAGCGUGUCUGGCAGGAGCGCAGGACAUGACAACUAAAAAGGACCUAAACUGUCAAAGGAGCGAUUACAAAAUUUUCUCUGAGUGGCAACAGGGUAAUGUGGCGGUGUCCUAGGAUUGGUACAUAGCAGGAGGUGAAGACUUCUACAGGGCGGUAGGGGAUAUCGGCGCUGACCAAGAUCGGACAGGUCGGGACUCAAAAGAGCAGAAGACAUGGCCAGGCAGUUCCGCUUCUCCCUGACCAAGCCCCCGAGUCUAGGCCAUGAUGCCCACAGAAAAAGCACCACAGCGACAAUGGCUGCCACACAACACCACACCAGUGUGAACUCAUAACAUAUGUUCCCUGGCAGAGCGCUGUGAGAAUGCGAGAAGAAAAUCCUUAUUCAGUCUCCUGCUGAUUAAAUACGCCUGCGCCAAAUGAGUGGAGUGGAGUUCUGGCCAUGGGAAAAAAACAAAAACA